RNAcentral lists this ribosomal RNA (394 nucleotides) under uncultured bacterium. RNAcentral's name for it is "partial 16S ribosomal RNA". It matches the Rfam family "Bacterial small subunit ribosomal RNA", at positions 338 to 729 of the family's 1533-position model. The record is from RNAcentral.
CCUACGGGUGGCAGCAGUGAGGAAUAUUGGUCAAUGGGCGGAAGCCUGAACCAGCCAAGUAGCGUGCAGGAUGACGGCCCUACGGGUUGUAAACUGCUUUUAUACGGGAAUAACGCGCCUUACGUGUAGGGCUUUGCAUGUACCGUAUGAAUAAGGACCGGCUAAUUCCGUGCCAGCAGCCGCGGUAAUACGGAAGGUCCGGGCGUUAUCCGGAUUUAUUGGGGUUAAAGGGUGCGUAGGCGGCGCUACAGGUCAGCGGUGAAAUACCGGGGCUCAACCCCGGGGCUGCCGUUGAAACCGGAGCGCUAGAAUUCGGAUGCAGUAUGAGGAAUGUGUGGUGUAGCGGUGAAAUGCAUAGAUAUCACACAGAACACCGAUUGCGAAGGCAGCUGAC